AGGUCAAUCAUUUGUAUGGUUGUGGAGAAAUACUGAUUUCAAAUACAUAAGGGGAGAAAACUCCUAUAAGGGUUAACCAAAACACUUCGACUGAAAUAGGUUGAAGUUGCGCCUUUUUGUAAACAGUAAUUUGGCAAACAAAUCAUAUCAUUAACUGUAACAGUUUCUUUUGAAUAACGAUAACAAGCAAAAUUCAAAAUUUAUAAUAUGACCUUGACCUUUGAUUUUUAUCUCAAUUUCAAGGUCAUAGGUCAGUGAACUCAAAAUAGAAG
RNAcentral lists this long non-coding RNA (272 nucleotides) under Mytilus galloprovincialis (Mediterranean mussel). The record is from RNAcentral. Lineage: Eukaryota; Metazoa; Mollusca; Bivalvia; Mytilida; Mytilidae.